This 260-nucleotide ribosomal RNA is filed under the name uncultured bacterium. RNAcentral's name for it is "partial small subunit ribosomal RNA". It matches the Rfam family "Bacterial small subunit ribosomal RNA", at positions 26 to 290 of the family's 1533-position model. The record is from RNAcentral.
AGGACGAACGCUGGCGGCGUGCUUAACACAUGCAAGUCGAGCGGAAAGGCCCUUCGGGGUACUCGAGCGGCGAACGGGUGAGUAACACGUGAGCAACCUGCCCUUAGCUCUGGGAUAGCUCCGGGAAACCGGAAUUAAUACCGGAUAUUACACCGGCUGACAUCGGCUGGUGUGGAAAGAUUUAUCGGCUAAGGAUGGACUCGCGGCCUAUCAGCUUGUUGGUGGGGUAGUGGCCUACCAAGGCGACGACGGGUAGCCGG